Molecule: unclassified non-coding RNA, 344 nt
Filed under: soil metagenome
Description: partial contains 5.8S ribosomal RNA, internal transcribed spacer 2, and large subunit ribosomal RNA
Rfam family: 5.8S ribosomal RNA (bases 1-120)
Source: RNAcentral
GAUGAAGAACGCAGCGAAAUGCGAUACGUAAUGUGAAUUGCAGAAUUCAGUGAAUCAUCGAGUCUUUGAACGCACAUUGCGCCCCCUGGUAUUCCGGGGGGCAUGCCUGUCCGAGCGUCAUUGUUGCCCUCAAGCACGGCUUGUGUGUUGGGCCUCCGUCCUCCUCCCGGGGGACGGGCCCGAAAGGCAGCGGCGGCACCGCGUCCGGUCCUCGAGCGUAUGGGGCUUCGUCACCCGCUCUUGUAGGCCCGGCCGGCGCUUGCCGACACAUCAAUCUUUUUUCCAGGUUGACCUCGGAUCAGGUAGGGAUACCCGCUGAACUUAAGCAUAUCAAUAGCGGAGGA